AGUAACUGGCAGAGGUUACCUCGUAAAUAGCAUGACCUCUGCUAAAAAAAGUAGGAUGAAUCCUAAGGAAGUUAAUAGCUGAAGGCUGCAGCUACUAGAUUCCAGAGAGUGGCCUGGGGCACAAGAUACUCAACCAGAGCAGACAGUGUCAGCCUCUGUCAUGGAAAGCACAGAGCUUCCUAUCCUACAUGAUUGUCUAUUGUAAUGCCAAAUUACAAGCAAUGGAGUCUCACUGUGUUGCCCAGGCUGGAGUGCUGUGGCAUGAUCUCAGCUCACUGCCAUCUCUGCCUCUUGAGUUCAAGCGAUUCUCCUGCCUCAGCUUCCCAAGUAGCUGGGAUUACAGGCGCACGCCACCACGCCCCGCUAGUUUUUGUAUUUUCAGUAGAGACGGGGUUUCACCAUGUUGGCCAGACUGGUCUGUAACUCCAGACUUCAGGUGAUCUGCCCACCUUGGCCUCCCAAAGUGCUGGGAUUACAGGCCUGAGCCACCAUGCCCAGCCAAUUUCCAUAUAUUUUUUAUACUGGGAUUUCAGAGAGUAAUUUCCUCUUCAUGUGUAACCAGUUAUGUGAAUUAAAACAGAUUCAGCCUUCUUUUACGGUUGUG
This 604-nucleotide long non-coding RNA is filed under the name Homo sapiens (human). RNAcentral's name for it is "HSALNT0359918". Lineage: Eukaryota; Metazoa; Chordata; Mammalia; Primates; Hominidae. The record is from RNAcentral.